UACGGGGGGGGCAAGCGUUGUUCGGAAUUACUGGGCGUAAAGGGCUCGUAGGCGGCCAACUAAGUCAGACGUGAAAUCCCUCGGCUUAACCGGGGAACUGCGUCUGAUACUGGAUGGCUUGAGUUUGGGAGAGGGAUGCGGAAUUCCAGGUGUAGCGGUGAAAUGCGUAGAUAUCUGGAGGAACACCGGUGGCGAAGGCGGCAUCCUGGACCAAUACUGACGCUGAGGAGCGAAAGCUAGGGGAGCAAACGGG
RNAcentral lists this ribosomal RNA (253 nucleotides) under uncultured bacterium. RNAcentral describes it as "partial 16S ribosomal RNA". It matches the Rfam family "Bacterial small subunit ribosomal RNA", at positions 524 to 776 of the family's 1533-position model. The record is from RNAcentral.